Long non-coding RNA from Parus major (Great Tit), 1837 nucleotides. RefSeq lists it as uncharacterized. NCBI's taxonomy places the organism in Eukaryota, Metazoa, Chordata, Aves, Passeriformes, Paridae. The record is from RefSeq and is a predicted model, not a curated record. The transcript has 2 exons.
ACGGCCUGAGCCCGGCACGGCCUGAGCCCGGCACGGCCUGAGCCCGGCACGGCCUGAGCCCGGCACGGCCCGACCGCUGCCGAGAGCGAGGGGGCAAUUCCCGGCCGGGGGCCUCGGAACUCGGCGGGGCAAAAUGCUGACAGCCAGCCGUGCCUCGGCAUAGAGCGCCUCGCAUCCCUCCCCUUCUCCUGCACCCCGGCUGCUGCUCGGCAAAACCGCUUUGCGGAUGAAGCCGAGAGCUAUCGCCAGCCAAACGGGCAAUGUUUCUGUCAUCCACAAUCGGGAAUCCCCCUGUACCUUACAGAAAGGAAAAGCUAACAACUAAUCCUAGCUAUCGGUGCAAAUGGAAUGAAAUCCCACAACUACACCUCCGACACUGAGCAACUUGCUUGCUUUAUAAAACCCGAUGUCACAAGCAACCGUGGCACCUAAAUAGGAGCCUGAGCAGCUCUCUGGAAGCCCUGACACUCUGCUCUUCCUGGCUGAGGAGCUACACUGGUUUCAAGCCACAUGAUGUUAUUAGUGUCUGGCUUAGUUAACUCCUACAAUCAGAAAAAUUCUCAGAAAUACAACAGUUUUCAAUCUCUGAAGAUAAUGUAACUCACUGAACAGUAUUUUUCCCCUCUAUAAUAUUAACAGAACAGCAAUCUUGCUGCUCACUCAAACCUGGCUUGAAAAAAGACAUGUUUUUUAAUUGCUAUCCUUCUCUGAGUGCUCUAAAUUUAGUAGUUGUUGCUCUAAAUUUAGUUGAACAUAAAUGCAUGCAUGUCAAUAUUCAAAAUGUUUUGGGCAGUGAAUAACCACUUACAAGUUAACAACACAAAAACUUAAAAAUGCAUUUGCCUGGAACAUUUAAUUUUUACAGUAAGAGGACAAAUUCAGAUUAAGUUGCAUUCCAGAAAGAAGCCAAACAAUUCACCGGCACUUUUUUCUGUGACUGUUUUUACUUUAGGCCCUGAUAAGAACACAUUAAAAAAGAUAAACCUCAAAACAAAUAAUUUCAGAAUGUACCAUACAAAACCAAAGGAAAAGAGACAAACUAGAGGAAGGGUUGUUUGGGUUUUUUUGAAUCAUUAUUACUUAAAAGACUGUUAUUAAAUUACAGUUAUCUAGGAAAUUAAAUUACUGCUGAGUAUCCGUUGACAUGGCAGCCUUAUCCUAACAAAAACAUUGCAGAAACCAGUAUUUUAGAAACUGGAAAAUUAAAAAAAUACAGAUUUGUACAACAAAAUUAAGUAUCAAUUUUUUCUUCUGACUUUUCAUAUUAUAAUUAAAGUUCUCUGCACUAAAGGAACUUUUUCCCACAAUACAUUCUGACUUCUUAUGAAGGUAAACUCAAAAUAAAGACUUACACUUACAUAAUGAUCUACCCCAAAUUAAAUGUCUCAUGAUGCUCAGUGAAAUUUAAUUUUGUGUCAUCUUCCACAUAUGCAGUAUCUAAUACAAUUUUUUGGAUUUUUUGGUAAUGUGUCAUUUUAUUUCAAGGCUCUUUUCAGCAGUGAAAGCAUUGAAAUACAGAGAAACAGUGCUUAAAACCUGCAGCAUCACAAUCAUUGAUUAUUCACAGUAACUGCACUUAAUUGCACAGAUUGGUAAGAUGUUAAUACAAAUAAAAUCUAUCAGCAUUUUAUUGUCUCCAUUCUUAUAGAAGAUGAAUUAAAUGAAAACCAUUUGAAAAAUACUGCUUGUUAAAAUUAAACUGUGGUAAGAGAAAUGAAAGGAAUCUUUCAUUCUCCAAAAUUAUCUCUUUACCUGGCUGAUGCUACUAAAUAUUAAACAUGUAGCAUAAGCUUUAUUACUGCCUAGAAUUACUGUAAUAAAUGUCAGGAAAAUUGUA